This 394-nucleotide ribosomal RNA is filed under the name uncultured bacterium. RNAcentral's name for it is "partial 16S ribosomal RNA". It matches the Rfam family "Bacterial small subunit ribosomal RNA", at positions 523 to 918 of the family's 1533-position model. The record is from RNAcentral.
AUACGGAGGAUGCAAGCGUUAUCCGAAUUUAUUGGGUUUAAAGGGUGCGUAGGCGGAUGAUUAAGCGUGAGGUGAAAUGCCACUGCUCAACAGUGGAACUGCCUCGCGAACUGGUUGUCUUGAAUGCUCCUGCCGUGGGAGGAAUGUGUAGUGUAGCGGUGAAAUGCAUAGAGAUCACACAGAACACCGAUUGCGAAGGCAUCUCACGAAGGGGUGAUUGACGCUGAGGCACGAAAGCGUGGGGAUCAAACAGGAUUAGAUACCCUGGUAGUCCACGCAGUAAACGAUGAUAACUAACAGCUGGGUCGUAGUGAUUCAGUGGCCAAGCGAAAGCGAUAAGUUAUCCACCUGGGGAGUACGACCGCAAGGUUGAAACUCAAAUGAAUUGACGGGG